AGAGUUUGAUCAUGGCUCAGAGCGAACGCUGGCGGCAGGCCUAACACAUGCAAGUCGAGCGCCGUAGCAAUACGGAGCGGCAGACGGGAGAGUAACACGUGGGAACGUGCCCUUCAGUUCGGAACAACCCAGGGAAACUUGGGCUAAUACCGGAUACGUCCGUAAGGAGAAAGAUUUAUCGCUGAAGGAUCGGCCCGCGUCUGAUUAGCUAGUUGGUGGGGUAACGGCUCACCAAGGCGACGAUCAGUAGCUGGUCUGAGAGGAUGAUCAGCCUCACUGGGACUGAGACACGGCCCAGACUCCUACGGGAGGCAGCAGUGGGGAAUAUUGGACAAUGGGCGCAAGCCUGAUCCAGCCAUGCCGCGUGGAUGAUGAAGGCCCUAGGGUUGUAAAGUCCUUUCGGCGGGGAAGAUAAUGACGGUACCCGCAGAAGAAGCCCCGGCUAACUUCGUGCCAGCAGCCGCGGUAAUACGAAGGGGGCUAGCGUUGCUCGGAAUCACUGGGCGUAAAGCGCACGUAGGCGGCUUUUUAAGUCAGGGGUGAAAUCCUGGAGCUCAACUCCAGAACUGCCUUUGAUACUGAGAAGCUUGAGUCCGGGAGAGGUGAGUGGAACUGCGAGUGUAGAGGUGAAAUUCGUAGAUAUUCGCAAGAACACCAGUGGCGAAGGCGGCUCACUGGCCCGGUACUGACGCUGAGAUGCGAAAGCGUGGGGAGCAAACAGGAUUAGAUACCCCCGUAGUCC
RNAcentral lists this ribosomal RNA (742 nucleotides) under uncultured bacterium. Its description in RNAcentral is "bacterial SSU rRNA". It matches the Rfam family "Bacterial small subunit ribosomal RNA", at positions 8 to 796 of the family's 1533-position model. The record is from RNAcentral.